CAUUGUUGUCACUUUCAUCCACUGCAGCCGUGCUGGUUUCGCACGCAGGGGGAGUCAACCUUCUGGGGCAUCAUGAAGCUACUCCAUCUUAUCUUCUCUGCCCUCUUGACCAUAGCUCUGGCUUCUCCAGGUUUCGCCAACGUGCCUGAUGAAAACCUCAGAUGCAUACUUAAUGGAGGUCACUGCAAUUAUAGUUAUUGCCGCCGUCCAAUGAGACAAAUCGGAAUAUGCAAGAAUGGCAGCAGAUGCUGUAAACUGUUUUUGGGCUGAAUGCCCAGCUGAGGGUUUGGAAUCCAAGAAGCUGCAUCGCCGUAACUCACCAUUGCCACCAGAUGCUCCUUCUUCGACAUCAGUCUUCAUGGAUCUUCAUCAACCUCUGACUUUCCUCCUCUGCUGCAAA
Zootoca vivipara (common lizard) is the source of this 400-nucleotide long non-coding RNA. RefSeq lists it as uncharacterized. The record is from RefSeq and is a predicted model, not a curated record. NCBI's taxonomy places the organism in Eukaryota, Metazoa, Chordata, Lepidosauria, Squamata, Lacertidae.